RNAcentral lists this ribosomal RNA (411 nucleotides) under Trinervitermes rapulum. Its description in RNAcentral is "partial 12S ribosomal RNA". Lineage: Eukaryota; Metazoa; Arthropoda; Insecta; Blattodea; Termitidae. The record is from RNAcentral.
CCCUAUUAUUUAGAAUGUUAAAUUUUGUGCCUGAGUAGUAUUAGUUAUGUUCUUGAAACUUAAAGAAUUUGGCGGUAUCUCAUUCCGUCCAGAGGAAUCUGUCCCGUUAUCGAUAGUCCACGUUGGACCUUACUUAUUUGAUUUUGGUUUGUAUACCGCCGUUUAUUGUUUAUCUUUUUAGAGUUAUUAAUUUUCUGGUUUCUUUAUUUUGAUAUAUUUCAGGUCAAGGUGCAGCUUGUUUUUAAGUGGAAUGAUGGAUUACAUUGUUAUUUGUUUAUGGAUUAUUGGUUUUAAUAUCAAUAUGAAAUUGGAUUUGGUUGUAAUAGUUUGUAGAUUGUUAUUAUGAUAAUUGGUUCUGGGAUAUGCACACAUCGCCCGUCGCUCUCGUUUUAUAUUACAAUGAGAUAAGUC